CCUACGGGAGGCAGCAGUGAGGAAUAUUGGUCAAUGGGCGCGAGCCUGAACCAGCCAAGUCGCGUGAGGGAAGACGGCCCUACGGGUUGUAAACCUCUUUUGCCGGGGAGCAAAGGGCGCCACGUGUGGCGCCACGGAGAGGACCCGGAGAAAAAGCAGCGGCGAACUCCGGGCCAGCAGCCGCGGGAAGAAGGAGGAUCCGAGCGGUAGCCGGAUUGAUUGGGUUGAAAGGGAGCGUAGAUGGGUUGUUAAGUCAGUUGUGACUGUUUGCGGCUCAACCGUAAAAUUGCAAUUGAUACUGGCAGUCUUGAGUACAGUUGAGGUCGGCGGAAUUCGUGGUGUAGCGGUGACAUGCUUAGAUAUCACGCAGAACUCCGAUUGCGAAGGCAGCUUACUACACUGCCUCUGACAUUGAUGCUCGACAGUGUGGGUAUCAAACAGGAUUAGAUACCCCUGUAGUC
Molecule: ribosomal RNA, 461 nt
Filed under: uncultured bacterium
Lineage: Bacteria
Description: partial 16S ribosomal RNA
Rfam family: Bacterial small subunit ribosomal RNA
Source: RNAcentral